Molecule: long non-coding RNA, 373 nt
Filed under: Vigna radiata
Lineage: Eukaryota; Viridiplantae; Streptophyta; Magnoliopsida; Fabales; Fabaceae
Description: long non-coding RNA (VRAD_LNC001296)
Source: RNAcentral
UGGUGACAUACUUUAGAUCUCUCGCAUAGCGCACCUAGGUCACAUAACGAGAGCCUAGACAGAGACCAACCCUUACCAAAGACUUGCAACGCGUACCACUCGCCCUUCAAAUUAAUUUCACAAAGGCUCCAGGCUAGCCUUAGUCGCAUAGCGACAGGAUUCACUAUGCGAAUCCGUAAGGAAGAGAGCAGUACUCUUUGGUCAUUCGCAAAGCGCACCUGCUCGUACAAUGAAUGACCCAAGGCAGAGAGCACUCCCCUGCAUGGACUCGCUAUCCGAAACAAUCCGCAUAGCGAGUCUACAUAAUCUGCAGAAAGAAAUUUGGAAACACACCCCCCCUUUUCCAAUUCUAGUCCCCUUUCCCAACUUCUAA